RNAcentral lists this ribosomal RNA (376 nucleotides) under Helcion concolor. Its description in RNAcentral is "partial 12S ribosomal RNA". It matches the Rfam family "Bacterial small subunit ribosomal RNA", at positions 875 to 1384 of the family's 1533-position model. Lineage: Eukaryota; Metazoa; Mollusca; Gastropoda; Patellidae. The record is from RNAcentral.
UUAAAGGUAUAAAUUUGUUUAUCUUGCCAGGGUACUACGAAUACAUGUUUAAAACCCAAAGGACUUGGCGGUGCUAUAAUCCAACUAGGGGAACCUGUCCCUUAAUUCGAUAACCCACGAAAAUCUUACUUAUCCUAGGAAUACAUUAUCAGUUUAUAUACCGUCGUCUAGCCGGCCUUUACGAGAGAAAAAAAGCUGGCAAAAAAGGUGAUUCCCUAACAAGACAGAUAAAGGUGUAGCCGAUGGAUAAAGGGAAGGAUGUGUUACAAUUAAUAAAUCGAUAUUGGAACCUUAAUGAAAGUUUAAGGGGAAAGAGGACUUAGAAGUAAUCCCCCAGUAAACGUUGGAGGGUGAAUCGUAGGGCUCUAUAGUGUGU